AUUGAACGCUGGCGGCAUGCCUUACACAUGCAAGUCGAACGGCAGCACGGGAGCAAUCCUGGUGGCGAGUGGCGAACGGGUGAGUAAUAUAUCGGAACGUGCCCAGUAGUGGGGGAUAGCCCGGCGAAAGCCGGAUUAAUACCGCAUGAGACCUGAGGGUGAAAGCGGGGGAUCGCAAGACCUCGCGCUACUGGAGCGGCCGAUAUCAGAUUAGCUAGUUGGUGGGGUAAAGGCCUACCAAGGCAACGAUCUGUAGUUGGUCUGAGAGGACGACCAGCCACACUGGGACUGAGACACGGCCCAGACUCCUACGGGAGGCAGCAGUGGGGAAUUUUGGGACAAUGGGCGCAAGCCUGAUCCAGCAAUGCCGCGUGCAGGAAGAAGGCCUCGGUUGUAACU
RNAcentral lists this ribosomal RNA (399 nucleotides) under uncultured bacterium. RNAcentral describes it as "bacterial SSU rRNA". It matches the Rfam family "Bacterial small subunit ribosomal RNA", at positions 29 to 431 of the family's 1533-position model. The record is from RNAcentral.